RNAcentral lists this transfer RNA (73 nucleotides) under Staphylococcus aureus. Its description in RNAcentral is "tRNA-Asp". It matches the Rfam family "tRNA". From Rfam's summary of the family: Transfer RNA (tRNA) molecules are approximately 80 nucleotides in length. Their secondary structure includes four short double-helical elements and three loops (D, anti-codon, and T loops). Further hydrogen bonds mediate the characteristic L-shaped molecular structure. tRNAs have two regions of fundamental functional importance: the anti-codon, which is responsible for specific mRNA codon recognition, and the 3' end, to which the tRNAs corresponding amino acid is attached (by aminoacyl-tRNA synthetases). tRNAs cope with the degeneracy of the genetic code in two manners: having more than one tRNA (with a specific anti-codon) for a particular amino acid; and 'wobble' base-pairing, i.e. permitting non-standard base-pairing at the 3rd anti-codon position. Lineage: Bacteria; Bacillati; Bacillota; Bacilli; Caryophanales; Staphylococcaceae. The record is from RNAcentral.
GGCUCCUUGGUGUAGCGGUUAACACGCCUGCCUGUCACGCAGGAGAUCGCGGGUUCGAUUCCCGUAGGAGUCA